This is a long non-coding RNA of Episyrphus balteatus (marmalade hoverfly), 699 nucleotides long. RefSeq lists it as uncharacterized. NCBI's taxonomy places the organism in Eukaryota, Metazoa, Arthropoda, Insecta, Diptera, Syrphidae. The record is from RefSeq and is a predicted model, not a curated record. The transcript is spliced from 2 exons.
GCGACAUCUUCAUACGAAAAUGAGUACCAAAAUUGUGUUUAAAACUUUAAGAUUAUCUGUCAUUUGUGAAAAAAAAAAAUUGUGCAGUUAUUUGUUUUUGUCUUGCGGUCAAGAUCUCAUCGUCGUCACUGGGAAAGAAAUCAACAACCAAACCAAAGAGUCCUCGUUUUUCCGAGAAGCAUCACGACAUGGCGCUUUCCAAUUAUAAUUGGAUUUUGUUACUUCGCCAUUCAUUCAAGCAUAAAUAAUGGAAUAAACACCUAUGGUUGGGUGAUAGUGGUCCAGUAUAACAUGCUUUAAGGAUAGAUUAUCAUUGGUGUAUGAGAUUGUGAUUGGUGGUGUGUUGCGGUGCCCGAGAGAAUUUUCUUUUUGGAGCGAAUAAAUCUUUUCAUGGAGACCGUCUUCUCAGUCGGUGGAAAAGCAAUGAAACAAAAAAGAAACUAUUGUGAAGUAAGCAAUUAUGUAUAUUUGUUUGGCAAAAGAAAAAUUUUAAAAUAAAAACAUGUGAUUCGGGUUUUAUUCAAUUGUUUCCAUUUAUGUAUAUUAUAUUGUAUUAUAUUAACUACCGAUUGUAUUAAGUUAUGUAGCUGGGCUACAGCUUCCAAGGCUAGAGAAAUGAUAUUAUUUGUACAUCAAAUUAGAAAUUUAAACCUUUUGAAAGAUUUAGUUUGUUUCGAAUUUAUAAAUUUUUGUUAAAAA